CAGCAGUCGCCGCGGGAAUACGUAGGUCCCGAGCGUUGUCCGGAUUUAUUGGGCGUAAAGCGAGCGCAGGCGGUCAGAUAAGUCUGAAGUUAAAGGCUGUGGCUUAACCAUAGUACGCUUUGGAAACUGUUUAACUUGAGUGCAAGAGGGGAGAGUGGAAUUCCAUGUGUAGCGGUGAAAUGCGUAGAUAUAUGGAGGAACACCGGUGGCGAAAGCGGCUCUCUGGCUUGUAACUGACGCUGAGGCUCGAAAGCGUGGGGAGCAAACAGGAUUAGAUACCCCUGUAGUCCCUGUCUCUUAUACA
This 304-nucleotide ribosomal RNA is filed under the name uncultured bacterium. RNAcentral describes it as "partial 16S ribosomal RNA". It matches the Rfam family "Bacterial small subunit ribosomal RNA", at positions 509 to 808 of the family's 1533-position model. The record is from RNAcentral.